UGCCCUAAAGCUGGGACCUCCCUUGAGACUCAGAUGGAAGGACCCAGCCAGGGGGCUACAGGCUUCCCCCUUCUGUCUAUGUUUCCCUGCCGUCUGUGUUGGCCAGGUUGCUUUCAAGAACAAGAGGAAAGGAUGAAACAGAGAACCAUAUCAUUAAAAACAAAGAGGAGCUAAUCAUAUGACAAAAAGAUGGAAUGGCAGCUAAAAGAUGGGUUCAGUUGUCUGUCACAAGAUUUUGGAAUUGUUUGUCCAAUAAAUUGUGAAGAUUGGAUUUGUCUCUCCCCUGA
This 287-nucleotide long non-coding RNA is filed under the name Monodelphis domestica (gray short-tailed opossum). RNAcentral's name for it is "lncRNA (ENSMODG00000034353.2)". The record is from RNAcentral. Lineage: Eukaryota; Metazoa; Chordata; Mammalia; Didelphimorphia; Didelphidae.